CCGCACGGGUGAGUAACACGUAUCCAACCUGCCGUCUACUCUUGGACAGCCUUCUGAAAGGAAGAUUAAUACAAGAUGGCAUCAUGAGUCCACAUGUUCACAUGAUUAAAGGUAUUCCGGUAGACGAUGGGGAUGCGUUCCAUUAGAUAGUAGGCGGGGUAACGGCCCACCUAGUCUUCGAUGGGUAGGGGUUCUGAGAGGAAGGUCCCCCACAUUGGAACUGAGACACGGUCCAA
RNAcentral lists this ribosomal RNA (236 nucleotides) under uncultured bacterium. Its description in RNAcentral is "partial 16S ribosomal RNA". It matches the Rfam family "Bacterial small subunit ribosomal RNA", at positions 98 to 334 of the family's 1533-position model. The record is from RNAcentral.